This 776-nucleotide ribosomal RNA is filed under the name uncultured Neocallimastigales. Its description in RNAcentral is "partial large subunit ribosomal RNA". It matches the Rfam family "Eukaryotic large subunit ribosomal RNA", at positions 23 to 640 of the family's 3401-position model. Lineage: Eukaryota; Fungi; Neocallimastigomycota; Neocallimastigomycetes; Neocallimastigales. The record is from RNAcentral.
AGAGAGAGACAUGCGCGCAUAUCAAUAAGCGGAGGAAAAGAAACUAACUAGGAUUCCCUCAGUAACGGCGAGUGAAGCGGGAAGAGCUCAAAUUUGAAAUCUUCAAGGUUCUACCUUGACGAAUUGUAGUUUAUAGAAGUGUUUUCUGUUAGUGGAGUGGCAAAAGUUCUUUGGAAUAGGACAUCAUAGAGGGUGAGAAUCCCGUAUUUGGUCAUUCCUUCUAGCUUUGUGAUACACUUUCAAAGAGUCGGAUUGUUUGGGAAUGCAGUCCAAAAUGGGUGGUAAAUUUCAUCUAAAGCUAAAUAUUGGCGAGAGACCGAUAGCGAACAAGUACCGUGAGGGAAAGAUGAAAAGAACUUUGAAAAGAGAGUUAAACAGUACGUGAAAUUGUCAAAAGGGAAGCGUUUGACACCAGUGUUGUUUUUCCGAAAAUCAAUUACAAAUGGAUUCAUGUUUUAGGUAGUUAUGACUUCAUCGGCUUGCUUCUUUCUUUACGAAACUUUCUUAAUGCACUUUUCGGUUAACAAGUCAACAUCAAUUUCUUUUGUUGUAAAAGGGUAUGAGGAAGGUGGCUUUCUUUUCGGAGAAAGUGUUUAUAGCCUUGUGCCUCUGCAAUCGGAGAGAUUGAGGUCUGCAGCGUAGAUCCUUCGGGGUUAGAUACAUUUGUGCUAAGUUAUAGCCUUUCAUAGACAACUUGUUGACUAUGAUCAGUCAUGUAGCUUACUCGCUUAUGCUAUUUUACCUACGCUUAGGAUGUUGACAGCAGUAUAGACUGU